AGUUAGAGUCACAAGACUGGAUCUUUAGCCUCAAAGGAGCUGCAACCUAUUCUGUUUUCACCCUCUGUUUGUACSCUCUGUUUAAAAACAUAUGGUUGAUCAGUUUCAUUUUUACGUGGAGUGCAGUGCUCAGAUGUCUCUACAGUUUCAUACUURCCCUCUUCUGCCAGAGCUAACUGAAAAACACCAAAACCAUGAGGUACACAGGAACAAACUCCUCUGGGCUCUGCCCAUCUUUAUUGCCUCUCAGCUCUGAUCCCAGCACUCCUUACACUCCUGCAGCUGUACCCUGGAUCUCUCACCUGGAGAUGCUGUCAGCUGUCUCUUAAGUUCUUGCUUUGGUUUGUUUUACUUAGAGCCAAAGGAUUUGAGACAAUCAGGCAUCAGUGUCAGAGCUGCAACUGGUCACCAUUAUGGAACAAACCUCCAUCAUCCAGUUCCCACUGGCUAAUGCAUCCGAAAGGCUCCUGUAGCCCUUCCUCCUGUAUCAGUACCUGGAACUGUUUAAAAUCUCAUUGMAGAUCUCCAGCAUGGAGCUCUCUAAACUUUACCUGUCCCUGUUACCACCACCUGAUCCUUCUAGUCUGCAGCUUGCAUCUGAGAGAAGAGCAAGAAUCAACAAAACAGGGCUGCAGCUCUUUGCACAGCCGGAACUUCCAGAGAGCAAGCUCUAGGUAGGGCAAAGACACACAAGCUGUAUAUUGUAUUGUCAAAAAGCCCAUGACUCGCUAAAGCCUCUGGCCUCUGCAGUCCAGGCAGUUCUGUGCUAGCUGAAUUCAUUGGUAUGCAUUUAGCUUGCUUUCCCAUCUCGAKUCUCUUUGGCGUGACUUGUUUUUUCAUAAGUGCUUGCCAAGUGAUUUAGACGAGCAAUUAUCAGCUGAUUUUCACUAGAUCUUACUUCCCAUCCCAUGAGCUUCUGAGUGUCUGAAACUGUUUUCUGCUUGAAUUAGGACAGAGUCAAACUGUCAAAAAUGUCAUGGAAUAGCCCAUUUAAAAAUAUUAGGUUUGAAUUAAUCUAAAUAUUUGAUUUGAAUAAUUUAGAAAUAUGUCAUCCUUUUCCAACCUUUUUU
Molecule: long non-coding RNA, 1070 nt
Filed under: Dromaius novaehollandiae (emu)
Lineage: Eukaryota; Metazoa; Chordata; Aves; Casuariiformes; Dromaiidae
Description: lncRNA (ENSDNVG00000005903.1)
Source: RNAcentral